CCUACGGGAGGCAGCAGUAGGGAAUCUUCGGCAAUGGACGGAAGUCUGACCGAGCAACGCCGCGUGAGUGAAGAAGGUUUUCGGAUCGUAAAGCUCUGUUGUAAGAGAAGAACGAGUGUGAGAGUGGAAAGUUCACACUGUGACGGUAUCUUACCAGAAAGGGACGGCUAACUACGCGCCAGCAGCCGCGGUAAUACGUAGGUCCCGAGCGUUGUCCGGAUUUAUUGGGCGUAAAGCGAGCGCAGGCGGUUAGAUAAGUCUGAAGUUAAAGGCUGUGGCUUAACCAUAGUACGCUUUGGAAACUGUUUAACUUGAGUGCAAGAGGGGAGAGUGGAAUUCCAUGUGUAGCGGUGAAAUGCGUAGAUAUAUGGAGGAACACCGGUGGCGAAAGCGGCUCUCUGGCUUGUAACUGACGCUGAGGCUCGAAAGCGUGGGGAGCAAACAGGAUUAGAUACCCUGGUAGUC
RNAcentral lists this ribosomal RNA (465 nucleotides) under uncultured Streptococcus sp. Its description in RNAcentral is "bacterial SSU rRNA". It matches the Rfam family "Bacterial small subunit ribosomal RNA", at positions 338 to 795 of the family's 1533-position model. Lineage: Bacteria; Bacillati; Bacillota; Bacilli; Lactobacillales; Streptococcaceae. The record is from RNAcentral.